This 207-nucleotide ribosomal RNA is filed under the name Triticum aestivum (bread wheat). Its description in RNAcentral is "partial small subunit ribosomal RNA". The record is from RNAcentral. Lineage: Eukaryota; Viridiplantae; Streptophyta; Magnoliopsida; Poales; Poaceae.
UUGGGUCGUGUUAUAAAUGCUCUGGCUAAACCUAUUGAUGGGACAGGCGAAAUUGUAGCUUCCGAAUCUCGCUUAAUUGAAUCUCCUGCUCCAAGUAGAAUUUCCAGGCGUUCCGUAUACGAACCUCUUCAAACAGGGCUUAUUGCUAUCGAUUCGAUGAUCCCUAUAGGGCGCGGUCAGCGAGAGUUCAUUAUUGGGGACAGACAG